This 279-nucleotide ribosomal RNA is filed under the name uncultured bacterium. RNAcentral describes it as "partial 16S ribosomal RNA". It matches the Rfam family "Bacterial small subunit ribosomal RNA", at positions 506 to 784 of the family's 1533-position model. The record is from RNAcentral.
UGCCAGCAGCCGCGGUAAUACGGAGGGGGUUAGCGUUGUUCGGAAUUACUGGGCGUAAAGCGCACGUAGGCGGGUUAGCAAGUCGGAUGUGAAAGCCCUCGGCUCAACUGAGGAAGUGCAUUCGAAACUGCUAGUCUUGAGUCUUGGAGAGGGAAGCGGAAUUCCCGGUGUAGAGGUGAAAUUCGUAGAUAUCGGGAGGAACAUCAGUGGCGAAGGCGGCUUCCUGGACAAUGACUGACGCUGAGGCUCGAAAGCGUGGGGAGCAAACAGGAUUAGAUA